This 75-nucleotide transfer RNA is filed under the name archaeon. RNAcentral describes it as "tRNA-Glu". It matches the Rfam family "tRNA". Rfam says of the family: Transfer RNA (tRNA) molecules are approximately 80 nucleotides in length. Their secondary structure includes four short double-helical elements and three loops (D, anti-codon, and T loops). Further hydrogen bonds mediate the characteristic L-shaped molecular structure. tRNAs have two regions of fundamental functional importance: the anti-codon, which is responsible for specific mRNA codon recognition, and the 3' end, to which the tRNAs corresponding amino acid is attached (by aminoacyl-tRNA synthetases). tRNAs cope with the degeneracy of the genetic code in two manners: having more than one tRNA (with a specific anti-codon) for a particular amino acid; and 'wobble' base-pairing, i.e. permitting non-standard base-pairing at the 3rd anti-codon position. The record is from RNAcentral.
GCCCCUGUAGUGUAGUUCGGUUAAUCACACAGCCCUCUCAAGGCUGCGACCCGGGUUCAAAUCCCGGCAGGGGCA